Molecule: transfer RNA, 84 nt
Filed under: Streptomyces capoamus
Lineage: Bacteria; Bacillati; Actinomycetota; Actinomycetes; Kitasatosporales; Streptomycetaceae
Also listed under: 1 other name
Description: tRNA-Ile
Source: RNAcentral
CGGAGCUGCACUGGUCCUUCGGGUAUCCGCUGGUGAUGGCAGUGAUGGCAACGGCCUGUCUGGUGCUGUACCGGGGGUUCCGGC